UUUCCAUCAAACAGACAAAACCAACU
This 26-nucleotide non-coding RNA is filed under the name Mus musculus (house mouse). The record is from RNAcentral. Lineage: Eukaryota; Metazoa; Chordata; Mammalia; Rodentia; Muridae.